This 346-nucleotide ribosomal RNA is filed under the name Orthochromis stormsi. Its description in RNAcentral is "partial 12S ribosomal RNA". It matches the Rfam family "Bacterial small subunit ribosomal RNA", at positions 801 to 1356 of the family's 1533-position model. The record is from RNAcentral. Lineage: Eukaryota; Metazoa; Chordata; Actinopteri; Cichliformes; Cichlidae.
CUUGAUAGUCUCCUACACCCACUAUCCGCCCGGGUACUACGAGCACUAGCUUAAAACCCAAAGGACUUGGCGGUGCUUUAGAUCCCCCUAGAGGAGCCUGUUCUAGAACCGAUAACCCCCGUUAAACCUCACCCUCUCUUGUUCUUCCCGUCUAUAUACCGCCGUCGUCAGCUUACCCUAUGAAGGAACCACAGUAAGCAAAACUAGUACAACUUAAAACGCCAGGUCGAGGUGUAGCAUAUGAGAGGGGAAGAAAUGGGCUACAUUCCCUACUAACAGGGUAUACGAACAAUGUAAUGAAAUAUAUAUUAGAAGGAGGAUUUAGCAGUAAGCAGAAAAUAGAGCG